RNAcentral lists this non-coding RNA (100 nucleotides) under Pelosinus sp. UFO1. RNAcentral's name for it is "Purine riboswitch aptamer". It matches the Rfam family "Purine riboswitch aptamer". Rfam says of the family: Riboswitches are metabolite binding domains within certain messenger RNAs that serve as precision sensors for their corresponding targets. Allosteric rearrangement of mRNA structure is mediated by ligand binding, and this results in modulation of gene expression. RNAcentral also lists the same sequence under 1 other name. The record is from Rfam by way of RNAcentral. Lineage: Bacteria; Bacillati; Bacillota; Negativicutes; Selenomonadales; Sporomusaceae.
AUUCACAUGUUACUACAUUCUCGUAUAUUUUUGGGAAUAUGGCCCAAAAGUUUCUACAGGCAACCAUGAAUUGCCGUCUACGGGUGAAAAUGCAUCUAGG